Long non-coding RNA from Phacochoerus africanus (Common warthog), 2579 nucleotides. RefSeq lists it as uncharacterized. The transcript is spliced from 3 exons. Lineage: Eukaryota; Metazoa; Chordata; Mammalia; Artiodactyla; Suidae. The record is from RefSeq and is a predicted model, not a curated record.
ACACACAGAGCCAGCUGCUUCAAGGAGGAGGCUGGGUUCCAGUCCCAGGGCACAUACUCCCAGGGCCAGGAGAAUUCUGCUUCGGGUAUGUGGAGGAGGCUCAACUGGGCCAGGGCUGGAAACUGCAAAGUGGGAGGAAUGGAGGGACAGAGGGAGGGAGCCCCGGGAGCCACAUCCUUGAUCUCUGGUCUGUUUCAGCAGAUCCGGACUUGGUGCUCUGGGUUUCUGUGUGACUCUGGGUCUCCCUCUCUCUAAUAUCUGGAUCUUGGCAUCUCUGUUUCUCUCUUCUGGGUCUUGGGCUCUGAGGCUGAUCACAUGAUGCUGGGUCACCACCUCUCCAGCCUACUUGGCUCUCUGUGUCCCCCUCCAAGUCUCCCUCUCUUUGCCUCUAUGUCUGCCUCUGUCUCCGUGUCCUUCCUUGUCCUUGCCAGGUGGGAGGAGGGGGCCCAGUGCUCAGGAAGCAGGUGUCGGCUCACUCAUACAGCAGGGAGUGAAGUUGAGGAGGGCACAGAGCCAGUAGCCCCUGGACACACAGCCACACUCCAGGACACAUACUCAGGGCGCUCACAAUGACGCGUAGAGAGAUGGGGUUCUUGCAGACACACACAGGUACACAAUUCAACACACAGCUCUGCCUAAAAAUACACAGGGAUGCCAGACACCGAGGGUCACAGGUAGCUGCUAAACGAAUCCUGCACACACACAAACACUCAUCCAGGCACCCCUGGGGCUGUGGGCCCCACACACCCUUAAGAACAUACAGACAAACAGGCACAAAGACAGCAGACACGGUCACACCCCGGAACACGGAUCUACGGAGGCCCCAGCACUCUCAGUUACACCGUGGCGGUCACCCUCAGAGCCACAUACAUACAGGAUUAAGGAGGCAAAUGAGCACAGACAGGCAAAUACCCUCAAGGACAACCAGAGACAGAGACACCUCCGGCACACCGAGGGACACGCCCAGGCACAGGCCGAGCCUCCUCAGCAUCUCUCCAGUUCUGGCUUGACCUACGGUGGGGGGAGGCAUCAGUUACCGUCACUCCAGUUCUGCCCUGGUCCAACUGGUUUGGCUGUCCCAGAGGGUGUUGGAGUCCUUGUGGUGAACAGACAGACUAACAAGCAGACAGACACAUUACUUGGGAACAACAACAAAAAAGCAAAAGCCAGAGGUCAUUGUCAUAUCUUGAAGAACUAGGAGGGAGAAAGAGCUGAAUAGGCCAUGGGAAGGCUAGGCCAGGACUGACUGGCCCACAGGCCAGCGUGCGCGGCAGACACAGCUAGGGGAAGCAGCAGAUGUAGGUUCUAGGCCUGACACUGCUGUGUUACCUUGGAUGGGUUGCUGCCUGUUUCUGGGUCUCUCUUCUGCUUCUAACAAAGAGGGAGUUGCCGUUGGUGAUUCUGAAGCAGUGAGAUUCUCAAAGACACUGCAGCAGUUGUAUAAACAGGGAGGGGUCCUGGGAGCCUUGGGAGUCUGAUUAGAAUAAUAAGAGCCCCCUCCCCUCCUCGGAGACUCCCCCCCAAGCCUCCUCCCCCGCCUCUAGACCUGGGCUCUACUCUGGAUUGAAGCACCAGAGGCCAGCAGCACCCCCUGCCCCCCAAUACACACAAACACAUGUGCUCCCGCAAACCUCAGCCGGGUCUUUUGCCCUCUCUGGACCUUAGGCGUCCAUGCUUGUGUAUUUAGGGGCUCACAUUUGGGCUCUGCGCCGGUGAGCCAGUCUAUGUGUGCACUGUCUGUCUGUCUGUCCGGCUGCCAGCAGCCUUCAGGCGCCAGGAGGGGAGGCAGCAGUCGGGGGAGGUGGGGGCGGGGAAGGAGGUAGCGUUGACAAGUUCCAAUGUCUGGCUUUCCCUCCUGGAAACCCCAAGCUGGGGCUGGCCCCCCCUCCUCUUCCUGUCUCUCUCGCUCAAGCACGUCCCUUCUAAGAGCCCCUCUCUGCAGACACCCCCAGUGGAACCAAGCCCAGAUUUGCUGCCAAGAAGGCCGACAUUUCUUAGACUUGCCACGUUAAAGGGGCCUGCACAGGCACGCACUCAAAUCCCCCUCCAUGUCCUCCUCCUGUGCACAUUCAGACGACCCGAGACACACAAAGACACGGUUGGACACAGCGGCCACCUGUGCACACAGGAGGUAGCACAUGGAGCGCAUCUGACCUCAGGCUCACAGACAAGUACAAACACAGCCGUGUACCGCCCCCCACACACACACUCAGCUCACCAUAGACUCCAAAGCACGCAGUUUCCAGCACGCGGUGCUCACAGACACGCACAAACACAGUCACACGCAGGGCCUUGCCGCGCAGAGGAACAAGUGCAAACCCGUAGCAUGUUGUCUCCCUGCACAAGCACAGCCAUCGCCACCACCAGGGCUGCUGCUGCCUGGUACAGACACAACCCCAGGAACACGACCUGUGCCGCCUGUUCCUGGUACGCACAGCCGAGCCCAGUCACACAGGGCGAUCCCCUGCAUCACCAGAGAGAAGAGUCCGCCAGGCACAGAGACACCCUGUGCCCACGCUCUGGACUUUUGGACCAGUCCACACUGUUAUACAGCGUCUUCCUGGGCACGGAGACCUGCC